This is a microRNA precursor of Vitis vinifera (wine grape), 90 nucleotides long. It matches the Rfam family "MIR3627 microRNA precursor family". The record is from Rfam. NCBI's taxonomy places the organism in Eukaryota, Viridiplantae, Streptophyta, Magnoliopsida, Vitales, Vitaceae.
GGGGGUUUCUUGUCGCAGGAGAGACGGCACUUGCUCUUGUGUAGCAAAUUGCAAGCGGCAAUCGCCGCUCUCCUGUGACAAGAUACCCUU